CCUACGGGUGGCAGCAGUGAGGAAUAUUGGUCAAUGGGCGCGAGCCUGAACCAGCCAAGUCGCGUGAGGGAAGACGGCCCUACGGGUUGUAAACCUCUUUUGCCGGGGAGCAACGGGCGCCACGUGUGGCGCCACUGAGAGUACCCGGAGAAAAAGCAUCGGCUAACUCCGUGCCAGCAGCCGCGGUAAUACGGAGGUUGCGAGCGUUAUCCGGAUGUAUUGGGUUUAAAGGUGGCGGAGGCGGAGCGUUAAGUCAGUGGUAAAAUUGAGGGGCUCAACCCCUUCCCGCCAUUGAAACUGGCGCUCUUGAGUGGAAGAGAGGUAUGCGGAAUGCGUGGUGUAGCGGUGAAAUGCAUAGAUAUCACGCAGAACCCCGAUUGCGAAGGCAGCAUGCCGGCUUCCUACUGACGCUGAAGCACGAAAGCGUGGGGAUCGAACAGGAUUAGAUACCCGGGUAGUC
Molecule: ribosomal RNA, 460 nt
Filed under: uncultured bacterium
Lineage: Bacteria
Description: partial 16S ribosomal RNA
Rfam family: Bacterial small subunit ribosomal RNA
Source: RNAcentral